GAGUUUGAACCUGGCUCAGGAUGAACGCUGGCGGCGUGCCUAACACAUGCAAGUCGAACGGAUCCAUAUUGAAACCUAGUGAUGUAUGGAUUAGUGGCGGACGGGUGAGUAACGCGUGGAUAACCUGCCGUAUACAGGGGGAUAACACUUAGAAAUAGGUGCUAAUACCGCAUAAGCGCACGGUUCCGCAUGGAACAGUGUGAAAAACUCCGGUGGUAUACGAUGGAUCCGCGUCUGAUUAGCCAGUUGGCGGGGUAACGGCCCACCAAAGCGACGAUCAGUAGCCGGCCUGAGAGGGUGAACGGCCACAUUGGGACUGAGACACGGCCCAAACUCCUACGGGAGGCAGCAGUGGGGAAUAUUGCACAAUGGGGGAAACCCUGAUGCAGCGACGCCGCGUGAGUGAAGAAGUAUCUCGGUACGUAAAGCUCUAUCAGCAGGGAAGAAAAUGACGGUACCUGACUAAGAAGCCCCGGCUAACUACGUGCCAGCAGCCGCGGUAAUACGUAGGGGGCAAGCGUUAUCCGGAUUUAC
This 534-nucleotide ribosomal RNA is filed under the name uncultured bacterium. Its description in RNAcentral is "bacterial SSU rRNA". It matches the Rfam family "Bacterial small subunit ribosomal RNA", at positions 9 to 554 of the family's 1533-position model. The record is from RNAcentral.